This 497-nucleotide ribosomal RNA is filed under the name uncultured bacterium. Its description in RNAcentral is "partial 16S ribosomal RNA". It matches the Rfam family "Bacterial small subunit ribosomal RNA", at positions 28 to 507 of the family's 1533-position model. The record is from RNAcentral.
GAUGAACGCUGGCGGCGUGCCUAAUACAUGCAAGUCGAGCGAACAGAUGAGGAUCUUGCUCCUCUGACGUUAGCGGCUGACGUGUGAGUAACACGUGUAUAACCUACCUAUAAUACUGGGAUAACUUCGGGAAACCGGAUCUAAUACCGGAUAAUAUAUUGAACCGCAUGGUUCAAUAGUGAAAGACGUUUUUUCUGUCUCUUAUAGAUUGAUCCGCGCCGCAUUAGCUAGUUGGUAAGGUAACGGCUUACCAAGGCAACGAUGCGUAUCCGACGUGAGAGGGUGAUCGGCCACACUGGAACUGAGACACGGACCAGAGUACUACGGGAGGCAGCAGUAGGGAAUGUUCCGCAAUGGGCGAAAGCAUGACGGAGCAACGCCGCGUGAGUGAGGAAGGUCUUCGGAUCGUAAAACUCUGUUAUUAGGGAAGAACAAAUGUGUAAGUAACUAUGCACGUAUUGACGGUAACUAAUCAGAAAGCAACGGCUAACUACGUG